This 321-nucleotide long non-coding RNA is filed under the name Physcomitrium patens. RNAcentral's name for it is "long non-coding RNA (PPAT_LNC007112)". The record is from RNAcentral. Lineage: Eukaryota; Viridiplantae; Streptophyta; Bryopsida; Funariales; Funariaceae.
AAAAGUUAUAGCCGUUUGAAGUUAAGGUGUUUAUUUAAGACAUACUGUUACUCUUUUGAGAAUACGAGGAGUUUUACAGCAGCUUUUGAAGAUCGGAAGAUACAACUAGAACGGCGAUUUCAAGGUCUACAUCUUUCACGAAAGAAUUAUUGCUUUUGGAGUUUAUAUGAAGGAGUUGUAAGGAGUUGAAGGCAGCGCUUCCAAAUCAAAGGCAGUAAGUAAGCGGUUUUGUUUGUAGUAAUGGUUGGAGCCAUAACUUGAGUAUUCAGACGAAUUUUUGGCUCAAAAUUUUGGAAAAUGUAAAUUUUUGUGUUAAGAAGC